RNA transcript from Musa acuminata AAA Group (dessert banana), 2484 nucleotides. RefSeq lists it as uncharacterized. The record is from RefSeq and is a predicted model, not a curated record. Lineage: Eukaryota; Viridiplantae; Streptophyta; Magnoliopsida; Zingiberales; Musaceae. The transcript is spliced from 8 exons.
GGAGCAAGGGUUUCCCCUUCGUUUGCGGAUCGAGCUGUCUCUCGUCUUCUGCUCCUCCUCUUCCUCCUCCUCCUCCUCCUCUCCCUCCCCUUCGGUUCUUCUCUCUGGUUCUUCCUCUUGUGGGGUUUGUUUGUUUGGCCGUGGGAUUGAUGGGGGUUUAGCUAGCAUUCGGCGGAUACGAGUGGUGGCAUUACCCUUGGAUUGCGGGCAGCGGAGGAGCUAACUGAUGGGAUCCGGCAGUAGCAAGGACGCGGCGGCGGCGGCGUCUUCGUCGGUUAAGGUCCGAAAGCCGAAACCGAGAAGGAUUAGGGUAUUCGACUCUUCCUGCUUCGGUCUCUCCUCCAUUCUAUCAGAUGGCCAUCAGAAGACAGAAGAGAAUGAGAGACCUAAAGGCACCUUUUGUGCUGAUGAAGCAAACAGUAAAUCAAGUGGAGGAAAUGAUGAUGAUUGUGAUAAAGCUGCAGUUGCUUGUCAUAACAAGUUGCCUUUGCUGCAUUCUUCUGAUGUUGAACAAAGUGGAGAAGCUGAUGAGGGUACAUCACAGACCGAACUGGGUCCCAACAGCAGUUCUUCAAAUGCUGUAGUUGAUCGAUCAUCGGGCACUUCUGGCAGGUUACAUUCUCGUUUUAACUUUAUCCCAGAUGGAAUCAGCUUUAGGCUUAACAGAGCAGUCAGUUUGGGUUCGUCAGGGUCCCGUUCUCUCCUCUCUACUGGUCUCUCUGUUCCAAGAAGUGACAUGGGAGAACAUGUUUUAGUAAAUCUUGAUAGUUCUGUGGAUAGAAAUGAUACACAAAGUGGCAGCACACUGGAAAUGAGCUCAUCCCAGAAUGCAGGUCGAAUUAAUGCAGAAAGAGAGGCUACAUUUAGUCAAUAUUCUAAUAGGAGCUUUGUAGAAUCCAGGAAUACAAGGCAUUCUCAUAGAAGGCUUGGACCCCAAGAACCUUUGGAAGGUAGUGUAAGGUUUAGCAGAACACUUAGUGUUGGAAGGCUCCGUGAUAGAGUUCUCAGGAGAACUCCAUUUUCUGAUGGUUUAUUUUAUCCUGCUUUCCUGGAAGAUAGGUCUGUGUGGUCCAGUGCGCAGGCUAGUGGAAGACGAGCCUUGGGUGGUGCAAGAAGAACACCUUCUUCCCACAGGAUUAGUGGAUUUUUGUCUGAUUCCUCUAGUAGUAACCUUCGUCGGAUUGCUAGAUCUAUGGAUAUUGGCGAUGAUAGUGUCUCAAAUAGGCGAACCGUGCAUCAUGAUGCGUUGGAGCAUAGAUCAGCUUUCCUUGAAAGGAGAAGAAGAAUAAGAUCUCAGGUUCGUGCUCUUCAACGACUUGGUAGCCGGUUUGAGAGUUUGUCAGGUCAUGACAGAUCAUGUAUUUUAUCUGGUCAGCAUCGAACAAGCCGGUGCACAUGCAGAACAAGUAGACAAACUGCCAAUCCUGAUGAUGACACAAACACUAGGGCAAGCAUAUCAAGAAUUGUUAUGCUAGCUGAAGCACUGUUUGAGGUUUUGGAUGAAAUCCACCAGCAGUCCAUAGCUCUAUCUUCUCGACCAUCUUUUUCAUCCAUCGGUUCAGUUCCUGCACCAAAGGAGGUUGUAGAGUGUAUUCCAAUAAAAAUAUAUAACAAGCCAUCAAAAACCCAAAACGAGGAGGCUGCACAAUGCUAUAUUUGCCUUGUGGAGUAUGAAGAAGGAGAUUGCAUACGGAUGUUGCCUUGCAAUCACGAAUUUCAUCGAACAUGUAUAGACAAGUGGUUGAAAGAAAUUCACAGCGUAUUAUCUAAACCCAGCAAUUCAAUAUCGAUAUGCUCUCGGAACGCAAAAUAAUUUCCUAACGACACUACGAAAUGUUAUAUAUCGGCUUUUGCCAAACACUACCGAGGCAACCGAUGCUCUUAUGGAGGGUCGAUUAUUUCGAGAAACAAUUGGUUCAUUCUCCGACGUUGUAGCUGUAUCGUGCCGUUACACUAUGGAUCCUGUCGAGUGGUGGCUACAAUUUGGAGGCGAUGCACCACAUUUAAGGAAGGUUGCCGUUCGUAUACUUUCACAGACAACAACAUCUAGUGGUUGCGAACGUAAUUGGUCAACGUUUGCAUUGAUUCAUACGAAGGGUCUGCCCACUUUGUCGAGGGGAUGUUUGCUCAUCAGAUGCAUUAAACAAGCAAAAGCUCAGUUAAAGGAUUAACGAAUGUUGUACAAUGCAAACAGCGUCCCUGCUCAGCUACAAAUUUACCAGGACCUGUCUUGGCCCCUUGGAAGAAUCAACCUUCAGGUUAUGCAGCAUCUUGAUGGGGUUUCCUAGUGGGCCUCUCAACAUCAGCUUUGGAUCUGCGUUGGCUCAUUUUUCUAGGCAAAUCUUUGUGUAUGCAACCAUGAGACGGACGAACACGGUUUAAAUGUAGAAACAUUUUGUAGAAGGGACACCAAGAGAUUCAUUGAUUUGUUCAAAAGUAACUAACUCGAUUAGUGUUUCCAAUAAAACUUUUAUCUUACCAGCA